AGCGCAGGUGGUUGUAUAAGUCUGAAGUAAAAAGGCAGUGGCUCAACCAUUGUGUGCUUUGGAAACUGUACAACUUGAGUGCAGAAGGGGAGAGUGGAAUUCCAUGUGUAGCGGUGAAAUGCGUAGAUAUAUGGAGGAACACCGGUGGCGAAAGCGGCUCUCUGGUCUGUAACUGACACUGAGGCUGAAAGCGUGGGGGAGACAAACA
This 208-nucleotide ribosomal RNA is filed under the name uncultured bacterium. Its description in RNAcentral is "partial 16S ribosomal RNA". It matches the Rfam family "Bacterial small subunit ribosomal RNA", at positions 568 to 774 of the family's 1533-position model. The record is from RNAcentral.